CAGCCGCCGCGGGAAUACGUAGGGUGCAAGCGUUAAUCGGAAUUACUGGGCGUAAAGCGUGCGCAGGCGGUUUCGUAAGACAGAUGUGAAAUCCCCGGGCUUAACCUGGGAACUGCAUUUGUGACUGCGAGGCUAGAGUGUGUCAGAGGGGGGUGGAAUUCCACGUGUAGCAGUGAAAUGCGUAGAUAUGUGGAGGAACACCGAUGGCGAAGGCAGCCCCCUGGGAUAACACUGACGCUCAUGCACGAAAGCGUGGGGAGCAAACAGGAUUAGAUACCCCAGUAGUCCCUGUCUCUUAUAA
RNAcentral lists this ribosomal RNA (301 nucleotides) under uncultured bacterium. Its description in RNAcentral is "partial 16S ribosomal RNA". It matches the Rfam family "Bacterial small subunit ribosomal RNA", at positions 509 to 809 of the family's 1533-position model. The record is from RNAcentral.